AGAGUUUGAUCCUGGCUCAGAAUGAACGCUGGCGGCGUGCCUAACACAUGCAAGUCGGAUGUGCCCGCAAGGGUGCAUGGCAGACGGGUGAGUAACGCGUGGGGAACCUACCUCUUUGUGGGGAAUAACGUUCCGAAAGGAAUGGUAAUACCGCAUGAGACCUUCGGCUGGGAUGCUGGAGGUGAAACCCGGGGACCGUAAGACCUGGGGCAAGGAGAGGGUCCUGCGUCUGAUUAGCUAGUUGGCGGGGUAAUGGCCCACCAAGGCGACGAUCAGUAGCCGGCCUGAGAGGGUGAUCGGCCACACUGGAACUGAGACACGGUCCAGACUCCUACGGGAGGCAGCAGUGGGGAAUUUUGCGCAAUGGACGAAAGUCUGACGCAGCAACGCCGCGUGGGUGAUGAAGGUCUUCGGAUUGUAAAACCCUGUCGUCAGGGACGAAGGUUGGGGCUUUAAUAGAGUUUCAACUUGACGGUACCUGGAGAGGAAGCCCCGGCUAACUCUGUGCCAGCAGCCGCGGUAAUACAGAGGGGGCAAGCGUUAUUCGGAAUUACUGGGCGUAAAGGGCGCGUAGGCGGUUCUUUAAGUCGGAUGUGCAAUCCCCGAGCUCAACUUGGGAACUGCAUCCGAAACUGGGGAGCUAGAGUGCUGGAGAGGGUGGUGGAAUUCCACGUGUAGCGGUGAAAUGCGUAGAGAUGUGGAGGAACACCAGUGGCGAAGGCGGCCACCUGGACAGUAACUGACGCUGAGGCGCGAAAGUGUGGGCAGCAAACAGGAUUAGAUACCCUGGUAGUCG
This 796-nucleotide ribosomal RNA is filed under the name uncultured bacterium. Its description in RNAcentral is "bacterial SSU rRNA". It matches the Rfam family "Bacterial small subunit ribosomal RNA", at positions 8 to 796 of the family's 1533-position model. The record is from RNAcentral.